RNAcentral lists this long non-coding RNA (438 nucleotides) under Mytilus galloprovincialis (Mediterranean mussel). The record is from RNAcentral. Lineage: Eukaryota; Metazoa; Mollusca; Bivalvia; Mytilida; Mytilidae.
CUAGCACACUGUGUAACUAAUAAUAUUCAGUAUGGUGAUGCAGCAUCUUACAUCCUCUAACUUGGAAACUAAAUGAACAUUGAACAUUCAUAUGUGUAUAUCAGUGCCUUGUACUUGUAUGAUAUUUGUCUUUAUUUAUUCAUUAAAAUAUAAAUCUCUAAUAAGACUUUAUUUACAAAAUAUAACACAUGAGUAAAAAAAAACACUUUCAGAAAAAAAAGAGUAACUAUAAAAAGUGCGACCCCAAAAAUUAAAAAAAAUAUCUUUCCUUUAAAAAGUAUUUCAUGGUAGAAUUUGACAUCAAAAUGGGUUAAAAUAACAAAUAUCAACUUAUUGCAAUACUAACAAAACUUAACUUAAUUACAUUGUUUACAGAAGCUCCCAUUUCACCUUAGUUAAUUCUUGUGUACCUAAAAAUUUGUACUAAGGCAAACUGGG